GCCGAGGUGGCGGAACUGGCAGACGCGCUGGAUUCAGGAUCCAGUGGGGUUUACCCCCGUGCGGGUUCGACUCCCGCCCUCGGCACCA
Molecule: transfer RNA, 88 nt
Filed under: Thermodesulfatator sp.
Lineage: Bacteria; Pseudomonadati; Thermodesulfobacteriota; Thermodesulfobacteria; Thermodesulfobacteriales; Thermodesulfatatoraceae
Description: tRNA-Leu
Rfam family: tRNA
About the family: Transfer RNA (tRNA) molecules are approximately 80 nucleotides in length. Their secondary structure includes four short double-helical elements and three loops (D, anti-codon, and T loops).
Source: RNAcentral